This 233-nucleotide ribosomal RNA is filed under the name uncultured bacterium. RNAcentral's name for it is "partial 16S ribosomal RNA". It matches the Rfam family "Bacterial small subunit ribosomal RNA", at positions 524 to 753 of the family's 1533-position model. The record is from RNAcentral.
UACGUAGGGGGCGAGCGUUGUCCGGAGUUACUGGGCGUAAAGAGUGUGUAGGCGGUGCUCUAAGUUCGGUGUGAAAUCUCCCGGCUCAACUGGGAGGGUGCGCCGGAAACUGGGGGUGCUGGAGCGCGGGAGAGGAAAGGCGGAAUUCCUGGUGUAGCGGUGAAAUGCGUAGAUAUCAGGAGGAACACCGAUGGCGAAGGCAGGUCUCUGGGCCAUUACUGACACUGGAGAAG